RNAcentral lists this ribosomal RNA (253 nucleotides) under uncultured bacterium. RNAcentral's name for it is "partial 16S ribosomal RNA". It matches the Rfam family "Bacterial small subunit ribosomal RNA", at positions 524 to 776 of the family's 1533-position model. The record is from RNAcentral.
UACGGAGGGUGCAAGCGUUAUCCGGAUUCACUGGGCUUAAAGGGCGCGUAGGUGGUCCGGUAAGUCAGCGGUGAAAUCUCCGAGCUUAACUCGGAAACUGCCAUUGAUACUAUCUGUCUUGAAUAUCCUGGAGGUGAGCGGAAUAUGUCAUGUAGCGGUGAAAUGCUUAGAUAUGACAUAGAACACCAAUUGCGAAGGCAGCUCACUGCGGGAUUAUUGACACUGAGGCACGAAAGCGUGGGGAUCAAACAGG